CCCUUAGAUGUUCUGGGCCGCACGCGUGCUACACUGAGUGGAUCAGCGGGUCAGGUUGCGCGAAAGUGUUUCCUAAUCUUGAAAUCCGCUCGUGAUGGGGAUUGACGGUUGCAAUUUUCCGUCAUGAACGAGGAAUACCUUGUAAGCGCGGGUCAUCAUCCCGCGCUGAAUACGUCCCUGCCCUUUGUACACACCGCCCGUCGCUCCUACCGAUUGAGUGGUCCGGUGAGGCUUUGGGAUCUGAGCAAAAAGAGCGCUUCGCUCGUUUGGCUCGGAAAACUCAGUCGAACCUUAUCAUUUAGAGGAAGGAGAAGUCGUAACA
This 322-nucleotide ribosomal RNA is filed under the name uncultured eukaryote. Its description in RNAcentral is "partial 18S ribosomal RNA". It matches the Rfam family "Eukaryotic small subunit ribosomal RNA", at positions 1470 to 1796 of the family's 1831-position model. The record is from RNAcentral.